AAAGGGGGAGAUCCUGGUGAUCCGGAGGGGGUGGCUGACCAUCAACAACAUCAGCAUCAUGAAGGGGGGAUCCAAGGAAUAUUGGUUCGUGCUGACGGCGGAGUCGCUCUCCUGGUACAAGGAUGAGGAGGUAGAAAUGGGAAAAACCGGGAA
Cyanistes caeruleus (blue tit) is the source of this 153-nucleotide non-coding RNA. The record is from RefSeq and is a predicted model, not a curated record. Lineage: Eukaryota; Metazoa; Chordata; Aves; Passeriformes; Paridae.